AUUGAACGCUGGCGGCAUGCCUUACACAUGCCAGUCGAACGGUAACGGGCCUUCGGGUGCCGACGAGUGGCGAACGGGUGAGUAAUACAUCGGAACGUGCCCGACCGUGGGGGAUAACGAGGCGAAAGCUUUGCUAAUACCGCAUACGAUCUACGGAUGAAAGCAGGGGACCGCAAGGCCUUGCGCGGACGGAGCGGCCGAUGGCAGAUUAGGUAGUUGGUGGGAUAAAAGCUUACCAAGCCGACGAUCUGUAGCUGGUCUGAGAGGAUGAUCAGCCACACUGGGACUGAGACACGGCCCAGACUCCUACGGGAGGCAGCAGUGGGGAAUUUUGGACAAUGGGCGCAAGCCUGAUCCAGCCAUGCCGCGUGCAGGAUGAAGGCCUUCGGGUUGUAAACUGCUUUUGUACGGAACGAAAAGCCUUCUUUUAAUACAGGAGGGUCAUGACGGUACCGUAAGAAUAAGCACCGGCUAACUACGUG
RNAcentral lists this ribosomal RNA (482 nucleotides) under uncultured bacterium. Its description in RNAcentral is "partial 16S ribosomal RNA". It matches the Rfam family "Bacterial small subunit ribosomal RNA", at positions 30 to 507 of the family's 1533-position model. The record is from RNAcentral.